Molecule: long non-coding RNA, 230 nt
Filed under: Linum usitatissimum (flax)
Lineage: Eukaryota; Viridiplantae; Streptophyta; Magnoliopsida; Malpighiales; Linaceae
Description: long non-coding RNA (LUSI_LNC000354)
Source: RNAcentral
CAAUGCAAGUCGUUGCUGGCCUUGAAAAUUUAGCCAACCCUAGCUACAAAAUCGCUGGCUAGAGCUCCAUUGUUAUGUUCAGCAGCUUCAAAGAGAGCUUGAUGACCGACUUCCCCUACACAAAUGCCCUGUUGAUUGCAUUUUGAUCCUUCAAGUCUAUAGAGUACUGAUUACUUUUGUACCUUCAAGCUGUAACAUGUGAGUUGUAACUGUUGCUAGGUCCUAGCUAU